GAUGAACGCUAGCGAUAGGCCUAACACAUGCAAGUCGAGCGAACCCUUCGGGGUUAGCGGCGGACGGGUGAGUAACGCGUGGGAAUAUGCCCUUUGCUACGGAAUAGCCCCGGGAAACUGGGAGUAAUACCGUAUACGCCCUUUGGGGGAAAGAUUUAUCGGCAAAGGAUUAGCCCGCGUUGGAUUAGGUAGUUGGUAGGGUAACGGCCUACCAAGCCUGCGAUGGGUAGCUGGUCUGAGAGGAUGAUCAGCCACACUGGAACUGAGACACGGUCCAGACUCCUACGGGAGGCAGCAGUGAGGAAUAUUGCGCAAUGGCCGAAAGGCUGACGCAGCGACGCCGCGUGAGGGAUGAAGUCCGUUAGGAUGUAAACCUCUUUUGCAGGGGAUGAACGUCUCGCUAUACGCGGGAUUGACCGUACCUUGCGAAUAAGGAUCGGCUAACUACGUG
RNAcentral lists this ribosomal RNA (451 nucleotides) under uncultured bacterium. RNAcentral's name for it is "bacterial SSU rRNA". It matches the Rfam family "Bacterial small subunit ribosomal RNA", at positions 28 to 507 of the family's 1533-position model. The record is from RNAcentral.